Molecule: ribosomal RNA, 279 nt
Filed under: uncultured bacterium
Lineage: Bacteria
Description: partial 16S ribosomal RNA
Rfam family: Bacterial small subunit ribosomal RNA
Source: RNAcentral
UGCCAGCCGCCGCGGUAAUACGGAGGGUGCAAGCGUUGUUCGGAAUUAUUGGGCGUAAAGCGCGUGUAGGCGGUUCGUUAAGUCUGAUGUGAAAGCCCGGGGCUCAACCCCGGAAGUGCAUUGGAAACUGGCGAACUUGAGUACGGGAGAGGAAAGUGGAAUUCCGAGUGUAGAGGUGAAAUUCGUAGAUAUUCGGAAGAACACCAGUGGCGAAGGCGACUUUCUGGCGCAUAUCUGACGCUGAGGUGCGAAAGCGUGGGGAGCAAACAGGAUUAGAUA